This 728-nucleotide long non-coding RNA is filed under the name Rattus norvegicus (Norway rat). Its description in RNAcentral is "long non-coding RNA NONRATT015607". Lineage: Eukaryota; Metazoa; Chordata; Mammalia; Rodentia; Muridae. The record is from RNAcentral.
UUUUUUUUUUGGUUCUUUUUUUCGGAGCUGGGGACCGAACUACUUUUCAUAUUCUUGACAUUUAAGAUGCUAGAAAUGAAAUCUUCAGUGCCCUUUCUCUAUCUUGUCCCAAGGAAGCAGACACUUACAUGUGGACCUCUGAGGCCUCCUUCUGAGUGACCUGAACACGACAGUAUCUCUCAUCAACUUCUUACUCCACUAUGAAGAAACACUUCCACCAAGAAGUAGAGGAUGCCACCUGGUUCACCUCCAAAUGAGCAUCCAGGAAUUAUACUUUCCUGUGAUCUUGGGAUACCAGAAAAUUGCACUUGAGGGGGUUGCUGACAGCUAGGGGUAGCAGCCACGCCUCUAAUCCCAGCACCCAGAAAGUAGAAGUGGGCUCAUCUCUGUGAGUUCAAAGCUAGUCUGGUCUAUACAAUGCAUUCUAGGCCAGCCACAGUGAGAUCCUGUCUCAAAAAACAAAUAAAUACCAAAAGACAAAACCAAAAUUAAAAAAAAAAUGGAGGGUGGGAAAUAUCACAUAGAAGAUGAUCAUUUGAAUUCUGAUUUGGGAACCUGUUUUUAAAGUCAUGUUCUGACUAAAGGCCAUGCCUGCGGCUUGAAGAAAACCUAGUCCAGUGAAGAGCGUGAGCUGUACUGACUUUCAUGGACUGGAGCGUGCUGUCCACUGAUGAGCUUUCAUCUAGACACUCAACUCUGAAGCGGCCUUCGAGGGCAGACUUUACUAA